ACUAAGCGUACACGGUGGAUGCCCUGGCAGUCAGAGGCGAUGAAGGACGUGCUAAUCUGCGAAAAGCGCCGGCGAGGUGAUAUGAACCUUUGACCCGGCGAUGUCCGAAUGGGGAAACCCAGUGCAAUCCGUUGCACUAUCGUUAACUGAAUACAUAGGUUAACGAGGCGAACCGGGGGAACUGAAACAUCUAAGUACCCCGAGGAAAAGAAAUCAACCGAGAUUCCCCCAGUAGCGGCGAGCGAACGGGGAGCAGCCCGGAGUCUGAAUCAGCUUGUGUGUUAGUGGAACGGUCUGGAAAGUCCGACGGUACAGGGUGAUAGUCCCGUACACGAAAGCACACAUGCUGUGAACUCGAAGAGUAGGGCGGGACACGUGGUAUCCUGUCUGAAUAUGGGGGGACCAUCCUCCAAGGCUAAAUACUCCUGACUGACCGAUAGUGAACCAGUACCGUGAGGGAAAGGCGAAAAGAACCCCGGCGAGGGGAGUGAAAAAGAACCUGAAACCGUGUACGUACAAGCAGUGGGAGCCUCUUUAUGGGGUGACUGCGUACCUUUUGUAUAAUGGGUCAGCGACUUAUAUUCUGUAGCAAGGUUAACCGUAUAGGGGAGCCGAAGGGAAACCGAGUCUUAACUGGGCGUUAAGUUGCAGGGUAUAGACCCGAAACCCGGUGAUCUAGCCAUGGGCAGGUUGAAGGUUGGGUAACACUAACUGGAGGACCGAACCGACUAAUGUUGAAAAAUUAGCGGAUGACCUGUGGCUGGGGGUGAAAGGCCAAUCAAACCGGGAGAUAGCUGGUUCUCCCCGAAAGCUAUUUAGGUAGCGCCUCGUGAACUCAUCUUCGGGGGUAGAGCACUGUUUCGGCUAGGGGGCCAUCCCGGCUUACCAACCCGAUGCAAACUACGAAUACCGAAGAAUGUUAUCACGGGAGACACACGGCGGGUGCUAACGUCCGUCGUGAAGAGGGAAACAACCCAGACCGCCAGCUAAGGUCCCAAAGUCAUGGUUAAGUGGGAAACGAUGUGGGAAGGCACAGACAGCCAGGAUGUUGGCUUAGAAGCAGCCAUCAUUUAAAGAAAGCGUAAUAGCUCACUGGUCGAGUCGGCCUGCGCGGAAGAUGUAACGGGGCUAAACCAUGCACCGAAGCUGCGGCAGCGACGCUUAGGCGUUGUUGGGUAGGGGAGCGUUCUGUAAGCCGUUGAAGGUGUCCUGUGAGGGGUGCUGGAGGUAUCAGAAGUGCGAAUGCUGACAUAAGUAACGAUAAAGCGGGUGAAAAGCCCGCUCGCCGGAAGACCAAGGGUUCCUGUCCAACGUUAAUCGGGGCAGGGUGAGUCGACCCCUAAGGCGAGGCCGAAAGGCGUAGUCGAUGGGAAACAGGUUAAUAUUCCUGUACUUGGUGUUACUGCGAAGGGGGGACGGAGAAGGCUAUGUCAGCCGGGCGACGGUUGUCCCGGUUUAAGCAUGUAGGCGGAGGUUCCAGGUAAAUCCGGUACCUUGUUAACGCUGAGGUGUGAUGACGAGGCACUACGGUGCUGAAGUGAUAAAUGCCCUGCUUCCAGGAAAAGCCUCUAAGCAUCAGGUAACACGAAAUCGUACCCCAAACCGACACAGGUGGUCAGGUAGAGAAUACCAAGGCGCUUGAGAGAACUCGGGUGAAGGAACUAGGCAAAAUGGUGCCGUAACUUCGGGAGAAGGCACGCUGAUAUGUAGGUGAAGCCCCUGCGGGCGGAGCUGAAAUCAGUCGAAGAUACCAGCUGGCUGCAACUGUUUAUUAAAAACACAGCACUGUGCAAACACGAAAGUGGACGUAUACGGUGUGACGCCUGCCCGGUGCCGGAAGGUUAAUUGAUGGGGUUAGCGGCAACGCGAAGCUCUUGAUCGAAGCCCCGGUAAACGGCGGCCGUAACUAUAACGGUCCUAAGGUAGCGAAAUUCCUUGUCGGGUAAGUUCCGACCUGCACGAAUGGCGUAAUGAUGGCCAGGCUGUCUCCACCCGAGACUCAGUGAAAUUGAACUCGCUGUGAAGAUGCAGUGUACCCGCGGCAAGACGGAAAGACCCCGUGAACCUUUACUAUAGCUUGACACUGAACACUGGUCCUUGAUGUGUAGGAUAGGUGGGAGGCUUUGAAGCGUGGACGCCAGUCUGCGUGGAGCCAACCUUGAAAUACCACCCUUUAAUGGCUGGUGUUCUAACGUAGACCCGUAAUCCGGGUUGCGGACAGUGUCUGGUGGGUAGUUUGACUGGGGCGGUCUCCUCCCAAAGAGUAACGGAGGAGCACGAAGGUUGGCUAAUCCUGGUCGGACAUCAGGAGGUUAGUGCAAUGGCAUAAGCCAGCUUGACUGCGAGCGUGACGGCGCGAGCAGGUGCGAAAGCAGGUCAUAGUGAUCCGGUGGUUCUGAAUGGAAGGGCCAUCGCUCAACGGAUAAAAGGUACUCCGGGGAUAACAGGCUGAUACCGCCCAAGAGUUCAUAUCGACGGCGGUGUUUGGCACCUCGAUGUCGGCUCAUCACAUCCUGGGGCUGAAGUAGGUCCCAAGGGUAUGGCUGUUCGCCAUUUAAAGUGGUACGCGAGCUGGGUUUAGAACGUCGUGAGACAGUUCGGUCCCUAUCUGCCGUGGGCGCUGGAGAAUUGAGGGGGGCUGCUCCUAGUACGAGAGGACCGGAGUGGACGCAUCACUGGUGUUCGGGUUGUCAUGCCAAUGGCACUGCCCGGUAGCUAAAUGCGGAAGAGAUAAGUGCUGAAAGCAUCUAAGCACGAAACUUGCCCCGAGAUGAGUUCUCCCUGAGACCUUGAGUCUCCUGAAGGAACGUUGAAGACGACGACGUUGAUAGGUCGGGUGUGUAAGCGCAGCGAUGCGUUGAGCUAACCGAUACUAAUGAACCGUGAGGCUUAACC
This 2895-nucleotide ribosomal RNA is filed under the name Enterobacter cloacae. RNAcentral's name for it is "bacterial LSU rRNA". It matches the Rfam family "Bacterial large subunit ribosomal RNA". The record is from RNAcentral. Lineage: Bacteria; Pseudomonadati; Pseudomonadota; Gammaproteobacteria; Enterobacterales; Enterobacteriaceae.